AAGCAGGAUUUAGACUACAAUAUAGCUGCUAAGUGCUGUGUUGUCGUUCCCCCUGCUAAAAAUAAAGUUGUUUCUUUACUAUAUGCGUCUACAUACGCAUAUAUAUAUAUAUAUAUAU
Small nucleolar RNA from Dama dama (fallow deer), 118 nucleotides. RefSeq annotates it as small nucleolar RNA SNORA63. The record is from RefSeq and is a predicted model, not a curated record. NCBI's taxonomy places the organism in Eukaryota, Metazoa, Chordata, Mammalia, Artiodactyla, Cervidae. The transcript has a single exon.